UUCAUCUUUGUAGACCACUUCUUUCGGCUUUUCUUCUCUUCUUGCCCGUACCAGUUUCGUUUCUUCACUCAGUAACAUGUGAUAUUCAGUUACUAGUCCUCGAUCACAGAUCUAAUGUUCUUUAGGCAUCUCGAUUGAAUCGGGCAACUUCAGAGGAAGGUAUUUAUAGUCCUCGAUCGCAAACCUAAUUUUCUUUACAUAUCGAUUGAAUUCGUCAAGUUAAGAGAAGGUGCUUUUAUAAAUAUUAUAUUUUCCCCUUAAUUUUCCUUUUUCUGUCCCUCGUCGUCUGUUCUCUGGACAUGAACUUCUUGGCUCUUUAGUCUUUAGAUAUUACUCAGUCUUUCUCGCUUCUUUAUGUUCGUAUAUGGUUUUUUGGCCUAACUUUUUUGUGUUCAUUUUUUUUACUAUUAUUAGAAAUUCUGUAACCUUCACAAUGUUGGUCUUUGUUUUGGUUCGUAAUGAUUGAAUUGAAGUUUAAGUAUCUCACUUUCAAAAUUUGAUAUUGAUGUCUCCCCCAAAAAAAAAUUUUUUUUGAUAUUGAUGAACAUAUCAUUCCGUGUAUCCCAUUGUAUUUUAAAACGGCUUCAGCGUUUUUGGUUAAAAGGUAGUAUUUAUUUUAUGCUCUUUGCCUUUUAUGUCUUAUCUUGCAACUGAUAAAAAGUCCAGGGAAACAUUGACAAGUGCUGGAUUGUACCUCCUCAAACCUGUGUUUACACACACGUCCAAUUCAAUCAUUACGUAUAGCAUUUUUUAUGUCGGUUAAAAAACAUUUUCUGUUGUUGUUGAGAAAACAGAAAGGAUAGCGAUGGAAGCAGAAUCGGAAUAUCAAAGUUUGGAUGAACUAAUACCGGAGGCACUACGGCUAAUCUUUAGCAGAGUCACUCUCAAAGAUAGAGUGAGUGAACCUCAUUUCUGUCACGAGAUAGACCUUAUGAAAUGGAGCAACUGUCCCCAGCAGCCUGACCAACUAGAUCAAAUCGUCCAGAUGCUCAUCACCAGAAGCUCUGGUUCCAUCCGUACGCUAUGUGUUUCUGGUCUCCAAUCUGACUCCAUCUUCACUUUCAUUGCACAAAAUGCGGCCUGUCUCCAAACUCUGAGAAUUCCCAAGAGCUGCUUGAAUGAUUUCAUAGUAGAACAGAUUGCUGGAAGGCUUUCAAUGAUUUCUUUCUUAGACGUGAGCUACUGUAUCAACAUGGGUGCACGUGGACUUGAGGUGAUCGGAAAGAAUUGCACCCUUCUGGAAGGGUUAUGCAGGAACAUGCAUUCAUGGGACACUGGAAAUCAUGACGAGUCUUCACGAGAUGAUGAAGCAAUGGCAAUUGCUUCCACGAUGCCUAACCUCAAGCAUCUUGAAAUUGCUUGCCAUUGGAUGACCACAGAAGGUGUUCGUAAGAUACUCAGUGCUUGUUCGAAGCUUGGGUGUUUUGAUAUGUGGGGAUGUGAGAAUGUUGAAGCUGGAAACUUAGGUCUGCACAAGUUUCCAAAACUCACAGUAUGGGGGCCACGUGCUUAUGACUGUUUUGACAGGGGAGACGAUCCAUUGGAGGCAAUGGAAAUAGAAUGAACAUGAUAUACCAAGUUAUACAUAUUAUGAGGAUCUCACCUGGCAACUCAUGGCUGGUGGCAUGGGACAAUUUUGUGAUUAUCAAAGUAAGCCAUGCUUUAUGCAGGUAAGGCAGACGAUGAAUUCGAAGAUUCUGAAGUAUAUUGGUCUCCAUCUCCAUAAGCCCCACUAUAGACACAGACACACUUUUGAUUUGAGUUGCAUGAUCUGUGACUAUUAACCAACGCUCCUACUUAUUACUCUCAGAUUUUUUUGGUUGAAGUUGACAAUUGACUUACUGUUAACUUUCUGUCUUCUUAUCUUUGUGGUUCCAAAGCCAAAGGUUUGGCAGCUCCCAUGGUUUCUUCUCCUCAUCUAUCAGAGCGUGACCCUUGUCCGUUUGCUGAUGCUCAUUUAUACCGUUAGGAUGCGGGGGCACUGCACUAUGUCACUAUUACCAGGCCAAAAAUAUCCUUCAGUGUGAAUAAAGUUUGCCAAUUCAUGCAAGAACCCAGACUGGGGUAAUGAUCCUAAUGACAGGCGCUCAGCAUCUGGUUCAUGUAUCAUUCUUGGUGGUAAUUUGAUUUCCUGGGCAGCCAAAUAGCAGCCAGUAGUAGUUGCUCAGUCUUCAACUGAGGCUGAAUAUCGAAGUCUGGCAAAUGUAACACCUGAGUUAACUUGGUUACAAAGCUGGCUUACAAAAUUGGGAGUCAAUACAGCUCGGAGCAUUCCUCUUGUUCUAUGUGAUAAUUUCAGGACUGUGUUAUGUUGUCACAUAAUCCUGUUCAUCACAGAACUAAGCACAUGGAGCUGGAUGUUUUCUUUGUACGGGCGAUUGCCAAAAAGCUUUCUGUUCGACAUAUGCCCACAAUGUUUCUAGCUGCAGCUAUCUUCACAAAGCAUCUAUCAACUUUAGGCUUUGAAUAUUUGAAAACUAAACUCAAGGUAGCUGAUGCAACUUUACCCACCUUGACUAUACGUGAGGCUAUUGGAUACGCUGCUGUCGUAUGAACAUGAAUGCACAUGGGCUUUGUAGGAAAUGGGAUACUGUGGGCAAGCCUUUAGAGCAGCACGCCCAUGAGCAACGAAUAAUGAUCCCGGCAAAGUGGCACUUGGAGCACGAAAGAUUUCUCAGGCGUGAAGAAUUAAAGAACCAAGUAUUUUUACUGCCCACACCUUUUCUUCAACACAAGAAAAACGAUGGUUUGUGGAAUGUGGCGUCAAAUUUGGAUGUGGUAAAUAAAUUACAAGGAUAAAGUCACUGAA
RNA transcript from Prosopis cineraria, 2809 nucleotides. It is a transcript of the gene named F-box protein FBW2-like, with no coding region annotated. Lineage: Eukaryota; Viridiplantae; Streptophyta; Magnoliopsida; Fabales; Fabaceae. The record is from RefSeq and is a predicted model, not a curated record. The transcript has 3 exons.